This is a long non-coding RNA of Rhopalosiphum padi (bird cherry-oat aphid), 318 nucleotides long. RefSeq lists it as uncharacterized. The record is from RefSeq and is a predicted model, not a curated record. Lineage: Eukaryota; Metazoa; Arthropoda; Insecta; Hemiptera; Aphididae. The transcript is spliced from 2 exons.
CUUUGUCAUAGUGUCGUACCUAGGUAGAUCUGCAUAGUGCAUAUUAUGUUGUCUCCGUCUUACUAACGCACAAUAUUUAUAGGUUCAGCAGUUCCAGUUUUGGAUUGUUAUCUUCAAUAUUAGAAUGAUUUUAAACGAGUAGCUACUACCGCGCGUACAAUAAAUAGUUGUGAAUCAUAUCAAUAUAUCAAGCUGAAUUUGUUUUAUCUUUUUUAAGUUUUUACCGAGAACAUGAUAUUAUGAAAACCACAUAUAGUUUAAUUUAUACCAAUUAUACAAUAUUUAUACCAUAAUUAUAAAAUUUGACAUUACGUCAAU